RNAcentral lists this ribosomal RNA (497 nucleotides) under uncultured bacterium. Its description in RNAcentral is "partial 16S ribosomal RNA". It matches the Rfam family "Bacterial small subunit ribosomal RNA", at positions 28 to 507 of the family's 1533-position model. The record is from RNAcentral.
GACGAACGCUGGCGGCGUGCCUAAUACAUGCAAGUUGAGCGAUGAAGAUUGGUGCUUGCACCAAUUUGAAGAGCAGCGAACGGGUGAGUAACGCGUGGGGAAUCUGCCUUUGAGCGGGGGACAACAUUUGGAAACGAAUGCUAAUACCGCAUAAUAACUUUAAACAUAAGUUUUAAGUUUGAAAGAUGCAAUUGCAUCACUCAAAGAUGAUCCCGCGUUGUAUUAGCUAGUUGGUGAGGUAAAGGCUCACCAAGGCGAUGAUACAUAGCCGACCUGAGAGGGUGAUAGGCCACAUUGGGACUGAGACACGGCCCAAACUCCUACGGGAGGCAGCAGUAGGGAAUCUUAGGCAAUGGACGAAAGUAUGACCGAGCAACGCCGCGUGAGUGAAGAAGGUUUUCGGAUCGUAAAACUCUGUUGGUAGAGAAGAACGUGGGUGAGAGUGGAAAGCUCAUCAAGUGACGGUAACUACCCAGAAAGGGACGGCUAACUACGUG